RNAcentral lists this ribosomal RNA (497 nucleotides) under uncultured bacterium. Its description in RNAcentral is "partial 16S ribosomal RNA". It matches the Rfam family "Bacterial small subunit ribosomal RNA", at positions 28 to 507 of the family's 1533-position model. The record is from RNAcentral.
GAUGAACGCUGGCGGCGUGCCUAAUACAUGCAAGUCGAGCGAACGGACGAGAAGCUUGCUUCUCUGAUGUUAGCGGCGGACGGGUGAGUAACACGUGGAUAACCUACCUAUAAGACUGGGAUAACUUCGGGAAACCGGAGCUAAUACCGGAUAAUAUUUUGAACCGCAUGGUUCAAAAGUGAAAGACGGUCUUGCUGUCACUUAUAGAUGGAUCCGCGCUGCAUUAGCUAGUUGGUAAGGUAACGGCUUACCAAGGCAACGAUGCAUAGCCGACCUGAGAGGGUGAUCGGCCACACUGGAACUGAGACACGGUCCAGACUCCUACGGGAGGCAGCAGUAGGGAAUCUCCCGCAAUGGGCGAAAGCCUGACGGAGCAACGCCGCGUGAGUGAUGAAGGUCUUCGGAUCGUAAAACUCUGUUAUUAGGGAAGAACAUAUGUGUAAGUAACUGUGCACAUCUUGACGGUACCUAACCAGAAAGCCACGGCUAACUACGUG